This 66-nucleotide ribosomal RNA is filed under the name uncultured SAR86 cluster bacterium. RNAcentral's name for it is "partial 16S ribosomal RNA". It matches the Rfam family "Bacterial small subunit ribosomal RNA", at positions 1467 to 1532 of the family's 1533-position model. The record is from RNAcentral. Lineage: Bacteria; Pseudomonadati; Pseudomonadota; Gammaproteobacteria.
CUUCAUGACUGGGGUGAAGUCGUAACAAGGUAGCCGUAGGGGAACCUGUGGCUGGAUCACCUCCUU